Molecule: non-coding RNA, 291 nt
Organism: Pan troglodytes (chimpanzee)
Lineage: Eukaryota; Metazoa; Chordata; Mammalia; Primates; Hominidae
Rfam family: Metazoan signal recognition particle RNA
About the family: The signal recognition particle (SRP) is a universally conserved ribonucleoprotein. It is involved in the co-translational targeting of proteins to membranes.
Source: Rfam
GCUAAGGGAAGUGAGGCUCAAUAGUGCACACCUGUGGUCUCAGCUACUCGAGAGGCUGAGGCAAAACAAUUGCUUAAGCCCAGGAGUUCUGAGCUGUAGUGUGCUGUAGCAAUUGGGUGUCUGAACUAAGUUUGGCAUCAAUAUGGUGACCUCCUGGAGUGGGGGACCACCACGUUGUUUAAGGAGGGGCGAACUGGCUUAGGUCAGAUAUGAGCAGAAUCAGUAGUGGGACUGGGCCUCUGAGUAGACACUGCAUUCCACCCUGGGCAAUAUAGUAAGACCCUAGCUCUC